UUGCGACCAUAACCCGUUGAAACAAACGUUCCCGUAGGAUUACCGAUGUUAAGCAACGUCGAGCCUAGUCAGUACUUAGAAGUGUGACAACUUGGAAAUACCAAGUAUUGUAAG
Acanthosepion pharaonis is the source of this 114-nucleotide non-coding RNA. The record is from the annotation of a GenBank genome assembly. Lineage: Eukaryota; Metazoa; Mollusca; Cephalopoda; Sepiida; Sepiidae.